CCUACGGGUGGCUGCAGUGAGGAAUAUUGGUCAAUGGGCGGGAGCCUGAACCAGCCAAGCCGCGUGAAGGAAGAAGGCGCCAUGCGUCGUAAACUUCUUUUGUCGGGGAACAAAGGGCGCCACGCGUGGCGUUGUGAGUGUACCCGAAGAAAAAGCAUCGGCUAACUCCGUGCCAGCAGCCGCGGUAAUACGGAGGAUGCGAGCGUUAUCCGGAUUUAUUGGGUUUAAAGGGUGCGUAGGCGGUCCGGAAAGUCAGCGGUAAAAGCCCGGGGCUAAACCCCGGCGAGCCGUUGAAACUGUCGGACGAGAGAAGACGUGAGGUAGGCGGAAGGCGCGGUGUAGCGGUGAAAUGCAUAGAGAUCGCGCAGAACUCCGAUUGCGAAGGCAGCGUACCGGCGCCGGACUGACGCUGAGGCACGAAAGCGUGGGUAUCGAACAGGAUUAGAUACCCUGGUAGUC
This 459-nucleotide ribosomal RNA is filed under the name uncultured bacterium. RNAcentral describes it as "partial 16S ribosomal RNA". It matches the Rfam family "Bacterial small subunit ribosomal RNA", at positions 338 to 795 of the family's 1533-position model. The record is from RNAcentral.